Molecule: long non-coding RNA, 882 nt
Filed under: Cricetulus griseus (Chinese hamster)
Lineage: Eukaryota; Metazoa; Chordata; Mammalia; Rodentia; Cricetidae
Description: lncRNA (ENSCGRG00000024968.1)
Source: RNAcentral
AAAAAAGAAAGAAAGUGAGGGUACUGGUGAGGCCCAUUGCUGAACAUACAACACAUUUCUGUUCCAAGACAGAGAAACCAAGCUGAAACUGAGAACAUCCUUCCUGCUGGCUAAAUGUCAUGGUCCUGAAAUGUGCUUUGCAAAUCACUCGGGAAGAAAAGCCAUCAAUGAUAUCACUCAGAAGCAAACCCAGCAUGUUCCAAUAUGAACCCGUCAGGAAAGAUGUACCCAUUGGUGCAAUAGUGGCAUGACGGUUACCCCCAGAAAUCAAGCAUGGCAACACAGUCAGCUGUUUCUGUGGAGCACCUGGCUCCUGCAUGUCUUGCCUCACGUACUCACACCACUAUCGGAAAUGCUGCCGUCACCUCAUUUUCUCAGUUGUAUAAGAUUUUCUUUCUCUGCAUCAUCUUUGUUAAGUGGCAAUCCAACAUGGCAAGCUUCGACUCUUCUUGUGGCCUCAGAGUCAAACAGGUAUGCUGGCCUGGGCAGAGGCAAGGGCAGAACUUGAAAUACCAUCCAGACACACAGUGAGCCUCUCAGGGUGAAAGACCUGAAAGCUGAGGCUGGCAUGCUGUGGGCCCCUGUGCCCUGGCAAAGGCUCUUAACUGAUUUGGGAAUAUCCCUGUGGGAUAGGCUCCAAUUUCCAGCUGGCAGAGCGAGCAUCUGAGACCAGGAGCUAAGCAGCACCUUCCUGAGUCCCCCACCUCUCAAGCCUGUGUUAAGAACACUGGGCCCUGAUCCUGUGCAGGCACCACAUUUUUCAGGACCCCACACUAUUAUCCUAGCAAAAGCAUUGCCCUGAGCUUGACAGGAAGCCAGGAUGGAUGGUGGUCUUAUUUCAAGUAGGAUAGCAUCUUUGGAUUCUGCUCUACUGUAUGCCAG